GCCUGACCGUAAACCUUAAAUUACACCUCAAUCGCCAGGGAACUACGAGCAAAGCUUAAAACCCAAAGGACUUGACGGUACCCCACAUCCACCUAGAGGAGCCUGUCCUAUAAUCGAUAAUCCACGUUUUACCUCACCACUUUUAGCUUCCCAGCCUGUAUACCUCCGUCGUCAGCUUACCGCGUGAGUGAAACUCAGUGAGCUUAAUGUCCACACGUCUAUACGUCAGGUCAAGGUGCAGUAAAUGAAGUGGCAAGAGAUGGGCUACACUUUCUAACCUAGAACAUACGAAAGAUCAUUUAUGAAAACUGAUCAGAAGGCGGAUUUAGUAGUAAAAGAAAAUCAGAAAAUUUCUUUUAAUUUGGCACUGGGGUGUGUACACACCGCCCGUCACCCUCUUCAAAGCUAAAUAAAAGUAAUUAACCUCUCAAUGCCCCACAGAAGAGGCAAGUCGUAACAUGGUAAGUAUACCGGAAGGUGUGCUUGGAAA
Molecule: ribosomal RNA, 490 nt
Filed under: Hylodes asper (warty tree toad)
Lineage: Eukaryota; Metazoa; Chordata; Amphibia; Anura; Hylodidae
Description: partial small subunit ribosomal RNA
Rfam family: Bacterial small subunit ribosomal RNA
Source: RNAcentral